CUCUGCAACCGUUUACAAAAUCCUUACAUUCUACUGAAGUUUGCACCAGUGUUGAAACAGAUGACUUUUUUCUGCCAUAUGAUGAUUUUGGGGUGGAAGAUCAGGUUGCACCUUUGUUUUCCAGCAAUCUGAUAUUCUAUUCCAAAAAUAAUCCUAGAAACAAGAGGUUCCAUUUUUUGUACUGCAAUGGUAGUGGUACCGAGCCUACUGGAGAACCAGAGUUGAUAUCAGAAAUGGAAGAACCGAAAGAUGCAUCAUCAUCUCCAAAAGCUAAUGGCUAACCAUGGUUAAUGAGCGGGAGAGUGUGCAAUUAGCAAAGAGUAACUUUCCCAACUAGAUAAGCUUGAUGGUUCAGAUUACGAUGAAUUUGGAAACGACUUGUACGAAAUUCCUGAAGUUGUGCCAAUUGCAUCUUGCAAUCAACUUCAGGAUGCUCCUGCGCCUGGUAAAGCUGACGAAGACAGCAAAAUUCAGGCCUUAAUUGAUACACCAGCCUUGGAUUGGCAGCACCAAAAUUUUGAAGGCUUUGGGCGUGGCGUGCUUUUGGUUGGGGUGGCGGCUUUGUAGAAAAAAACACCACCUCCAGGCUAUGUAUGCCACAGAUGCAAAACCCCAGGACGUUUUAUUCAGCAUUGCCCCACAAACGAUGAUCCUAAUUUUGAUAUCAAGAGAGUGAAACCUCCGACUGGCAUUCCGAAAACUAUGUUAGUGAUGGUUCUUAUGCAUUACCCAGUGGUGCAGUGGUGGUUUUGAGGCCAAAUGAGUAUGUUUCUUCAUUCGCAUUGCGUGUUGUAUCUUUCUCAGGCUUUGUAGGUUUAUGUGUGUUUUGGUUUCUUUCUUUCUACAGAAGUUUGUUUUUCUUUCUUUCCUGAAGGGAAGGGGUGAGCAUAUAUUUUCAACUUCAAUGAAGUAAUUAACUUAACAGUGU
RNA transcript from Cynara cardunculus var. scolymus (artichoke), 928 nucleotides. RefSeq lists it as uncharacterized. The record is from RefSeq and is a predicted model, not a curated record. Lineage: Eukaryota; Viridiplantae; Streptophyta; Magnoliopsida; Asterales; Asteraceae. The transcript has 6 exons.